UGGGGAAUUUUGGACAAUGGGCGCAAGCCUGAUCCAGCCAUGCCGCGUGAGUGAAGAAGGCCUUUUGGUUGUAAAGCACUUUAAGCGAGGAGGAGGCUACCCUGACUAAUACUCAGGAGUAGUGGACGUUACUCGCAGAAUAAGCACCGGCUAACUCCGUGCCAGCAGCCGCGGUAAUACGGAGGGUGCUAGCGUUGUUCGGAAUCACUGGGCGUAAAGGGCGUGUAGGCGGUUCGUUAAGUCGUCUGUGAAAGCCCAUGGCUCAACCAUGGAAGUGCAGCCGAUACUGGCAAACUUGAGUUCUGGAGAGGGUGGCGGAAUUCCUGGUGUAGAGGUGAAAUUCGUAGAUAUCAGGAAGAACAUCAGUGGCGAAGGCGACCACCUGGACGAUGACUGACGCUGAGGCGCGAAAGCGUGGGUAGCAAACAGGAUUAGAUACCCCCGUAGUCCCUGAGCGGGCUGGCAAGGCGCAU
Molecule: ribosomal RNA, 473 nt
Filed under: uncultured bacterium
Lineage: Bacteria
Description: bacterial SSU rRNA
Rfam family: Bacterial small subunit ribosomal RNA
Source: RNAcentral